CUCCGGGCCCCGCGCCCGCCGCACUCCUCGUUCCCACUCAUUUUCUAAUGAAAAAGCCCUGGCUUCUUUGAAAAUCCAAAGGGCGCCGGACGCUAGUGGAGAAGAGCCCCAACAAGACGGCGAAUGCAGAAAGUAAAAGGCCGGCGUCCCUCCAACCCGUCCUUCGCAAAUCUCUCCAGAGAGAUCCAGCCUUUACAGAUCGGAAGCUUCUUGUACAUGGCAGGGCUACAUACCUGGUUCUGGCUGGUGAAAUAUGAGCAAAGGUGACAUGUGACACUUUGGGGCUGAGCCAGUGACAAACCCAAGCGUGGUUCUCUGCGUUCUCUUCCCUUGCUUUGGUGAUCGUGGGAGCAUGAGGCAUCACGGGACGAAGGCAAGCCUAUUGCUGAGCCACACGUGGAGGACAACUGUCUCCAACACUCACCCAGAUACACAGCUGAGUUCAGCCAGCCAGUUGAAGAAGGAUCUAGUUUCUUUGGAGACUUGUUUGGUUUGAGUGUUCUUCCUCCACCUCUGUCUGCUGAAAAUCAACACAUCCUGAAGUUGGAGAUGUGGGAAGACCCUGAACUCACCUCCUGCCGUGGACACACCAAAUCCAUAGCUACAUCUAGAACAGUUGUCUCUGAAAAAGACCUGAAAGCUGUGUAGCUCCUCCACAGCAACGGAUAAAAAGGCCACACUGAGAUGGAUAGAAAAGACAGAGAUAUGGUCUUGCUAAAGACCCCACUCCCAGUGCAGUGACCCAGAAGCACGAGGGUGCCCACCCAUAUGCACAAAUAUGGUGCAUAUCCCUGAGAAGAGAAUUUGACCCCCACACUAGGCACCCCAACCCUUUGCUGAACAUCCGGCUUUGAAAACCAAUGAGACUUAUAUCCAGGAGACCCAAGAGGUUGUAGGAAACUGAGACUCUGCUCCUGAAGGACUCAGACACAGACCCACUUGUCCUGGGACCCCGUACAAAAGUAGCAGGUUGGAAAAUGCCCAGACCAUAUGUGAAGGAGAUUCAUUGGCUAAGCUUAAAGUAUCUGCCAGAGGGCCAGGGGUCUGUUGGAACUCUCUCUGGGGAAGGAGGCUCUGGUGGGUUCCAUUUUUGCACUCUCUCUUCUACUUUGCUAGUGGACACCAUUUUUGCACUCUACCUUUAUCUUGCUAGUGCCAUGUCCCCUGGCCCAGUCUGUCCUGUGGUCCCACCCUUCCAAACCUGGUGGGCUGGCUCACCCUGACCCAGUACACCCCCGUGUGAGGCUGCUCCACCAACCUGGUUGCCAGACGUGGCCCCACCACUGCUGACAAGUGCAUGCAGUCCACACAGGGGAUGUCCCUUGAAUGCUUGGCUCUGAUGGCCAAGUGGGCUUGCAUUUCUGGGCCCCAUGGGACUGAAGCAACUGGAGAGACAGUUUUGGGCAAGGGAGCACCACAGGGCACUGAACAGACAGCAGACUGAAACAUAUUCCCAGUCUUCCUGUGAUCACUCCUUUAAGACUGGGAGAGACAGCCAUUUCACCUAAUGCAUAGAAACAGACACAGAGAGUCAAGCAAAAUGAGGAAACAGGAAGAUGUUCCAAAUGAAAGAAUAAGAUAAAACUCCAGAAAAAACCUUAAUGAAAUGGAGAUAAGUAAUUUACAUGGUAAAGAGUUCAGGGUAAUGGUCAUAGAGACGCUCAUUGAUCUUGGGAGAAUGAACACAGAGAGAACUUCAACAAAGAGACGGAAAAUAGAAGAAAGUAGGAAACAUAAAUCUCAGAGCUGAGGAAUACAAUAACUGAAAUGAAAAAUACACUGGUGGGAUGCAACAGCAGACUAGAUGAAACAGAAUAUGGGAUCAGUGACUGGAAGGCAGGGCAGUGGAACUCACCCAAAACGGAGCAAUAAAAAAAAAAAAGAAUUAAGAAAAGUGAAGCUAGCUUAAGGGACAUAUAAACAACAUCAAAUGAAACAACAUUUGCAUAAUAGGGGCCCAGAAGGAGAAGAGACAGAAAGAGACAGGACACUUAUUUGAAGAAAUGAUGUCUGCAAACUUCCUUAACCUGGGGAAGAAAACAAGACAUCCAGAUCC
Molecule: long non-coding RNA, 2056 nt
Organism: Herpailurus yagouaroundi (jaguarundi)
Lineage: Eukaryota; Metazoa; Chordata; Mammalia; Carnivora; Felidae
Exons: 3
Source: RefSeq, a predicted model, not a curated record